Oryzias latipes (Japanese medaka) is the source of this 433-nucleotide non-coding RNA. NCBI's taxonomy places the organism in Eukaryota, Metazoa, Chordata, Actinopteri, Beloniformes, Adrianichthyidae. The record is from RefSeq and is a predicted model, not a curated record.
GGAGGAAAAGAGAGUGCCUGUAAGGAGAAUGAACAUUCUAAUGGCAGGGGCGAGAUCGUGCAACGAUACAUGUGGAUGGCUAUUACGAAGAGGGAGCAAAGCUGCAGUGACAAAAGGGGACUUCCAAAGGGGCCAAGUCAUUCUCUCUGGUUUCCUGAGGGAAAAUACCACAUCUGGAAGGAGCAGAGGCAGACAAGACUAUCUCACCUCUCUUGGAGCCUCUCACGCAUGCAAUAUUAAUAAGAUAUAUAUCUACUAGAUUGGUAGAGGUCACACUGAGCCUGUGUUUGCAGAAACAAAACUCAGAAGAUAUUGGAUAAUACCAAAGAUAGAGACUUUUUUUUUCAGUGAUAGAAAGUCAACGCUUCGCUGAAUAUAAAAUCACAGGAAAGCCACAAAAGUCUUGAUUUUUUAAAUUUACAUCACUGAACCG